CCUCAGUGUGAUUUCUUGGAAAAGCAGAAGUCCAAUAAUGGACUAUACACGUUCCUCUUUUAUCAUUACUCAUAUCUUAGCCUAAAUUACUCUUGUUGUUUCUGUGCUAAAAGCAAUGCUGCUAAUAUCUAGUUCUGGCCAACUUUUGCUGAGCUGUUUGCAAUAAUUGUUGUAUACACAUUUAUGUAAAGGUACAUUUUUUCUUGGGCCUUAAUUCACUUACCAUGUAGUUCUCUCCUGAAUCAUGUUUCUGUCCCAUUUAUAAAUGUUAGGCUAUGAUUUGAAUUGCCUUGUUAAGGAAGCAUUAUCUAUUGAAAUGUUGCUGGCAGCUAUCCUCUAACUUAAGGGUGCAGGAGACACGGUCUUCAUUGGAGUGGUUUGUGGGAAAAGUACAAGACAUGAUUAUCUAAAUACUUUGAGACGAUCUAUAGUGAAGAGUACAAAUGAAUCAAGGUGAGAGGUUUAAAGAAGCUGAUCAGUUUUGCACUUCAUUGCCUUUGUCAUAUAAAAGUUUUAAUCUCUAUUCACCCACCAAAAAGGAGGAAUAGGAAAGAAAAUUGCAAAAGUGGAAGCUUUUUUACAUUUGCAUAAUGCCUGAUGCAGGCAUACGUUUAAGUACUUAGAGAGAGAUGAGACAAUGGUAGCUCACUUGGUGGGGGAAUUGAUGCAUUCAUAAAGCUGUCUCAAAGUUAGCUGCUAUCAAAAUCUCUAUUCAAUGUUGUAUAUACUUUCUAAAAUUUGAAGUCUAUGUUCCAAAUUCUGAGGAAAUCAUUGGUAGAGAUAUCACCGGGAUCGGAUCCUGGUACAAUAUACAUCUCAACACCUGUGGAGAAAUGUUAGUUAUGUUUCUGUUAGUAGCUUUUGUACUAGUGUAAUUUUCAUUACAUAAAUCAGUCAUGUAGGGUGCCUAGUGAUUUGAUUAUGAUAAUUGAUUUCCACGGUAAGAUGUACAAGUUUGGGUACUCCAGGACCAGAUCUCCAUUGCAGUGAUGUGCAAAGUUCAAGGAAAACUUUGUCAAGGGUCAUAAAUAUUGUGAAAGGGUUAACUCUAGCAUUUGUUUUUAAUUUACACUAGAUCUUCUGUCUGCUCGUGAGUAACGGGUUUUGCUUGUUUUCAUGACUUUUUCUUUAAAUUUAUCAUCACUAUUCACCAUGAUAUAUAUGAAUGAUAAUUAAAGAUAUAUUAAAAGAUAAUGACAAGAAAAUAUUGAGUUGUUCAGCUUUAAUUAUUUGGCACAGGCAAUGAGUCAAUGAGGGCAAAUGCUAUUGGCAGUUGUGUUGUGCUCAACCAUGGAGGAGGUUGCGCGGUAGACAAGAUGCUCAUGGAGUUUGCUUCACUGUCAAUAAUCCCUAUGAUACUUCUAUUUGUUGUUAUCCUCGUUAAUUCAUUUUUAAUUUUAUUAUUAUUUAUCUUUUUAAAAAUUGAUUUUACUAGAAUUCUGAUCAAUUUUGCUUUUCUAAUUUAAGUACUGUCUUUUAUGGUUUCUUUAUGCCUUGUAUAUUGGUGCACAGUAUGAUGCAUUUAACUUGAUAUACAUAAGAUGCACAAUAUGAUACAUUUAAUUUGAUAUUGCAUUACAGGUACAAGACUUUAGGCAGCAGGGAACUAAGAUGAGAAGAAAGAUGUGGCUUCAGAAUAUGAAGAUAAAAUUGAUUGUUUUGGGUAUCCUUAUUGCCCUGAUUCUUAUCAUUGUGCUGUCAGUCUGCCAUGGCUUCAAAUGUUAAUCUGUCUUGGAUUUCCCUUGUACCGCUCUUGCUGCCUGGGUUGUCUUGAUAGAUUGGUUUGUCUUACUUGUUUUUUUAGGGCAUAUAUUUCUCCCUUUGCUAGCCGUUUAGGAUAGGGGGAGGCUUUGUAUCUUGGUUGGCUGUAUAGGUUAUAGUUUGAACUUGUUACGGUAGAUAAAAAAUUUCUAUGGAGGAUUUCUUCUUUAUAUUGUAAUGGGGGAAUACUCGGAUGCCUGCAUAUCAUAUUUGUCCUUUUGAAAUGUUAUUAAUCUGUUUUUUUGUUUUUCUCGCUUAUCAUGUAAAUCCUUUUAUAUGCAUUUCUCUUUUAGAGGUAAGAGGACAAGGUUGGUUCUGUAAAAAUUUUUAAUGCUUAGGAGACUACGGUUGCAUGAGUAGCUCAGUGUCUUCGCCUUCCGCAGGGAAGGUCUUUAGCUCUAAUGAUUAAAGCGAUGUGUAUGAUUGAUUUUCUCCCACUACCUUUGAAGUCUUGUUUUGAGGAUCUAUUCUUUCUACGGAGAGAAAUUUGGGGAAUAAGUAAGGGAUGUUGACGAAUGGUUGUUUUGUCAAAAAAAAAAAAAAAUGGUUUGUUAAAACACUAGUUUGACAACGAAACAAAUUGAAUUUUAUUUGGUAGUCGGUUCGAUUUUUCUUUAUUAAAAUCAAAGGCGUUAGUAUAUUUUUGCUUGAAAACGAUUUAAUUUGAGUUUUUAAUCGUAAAUCGAGUUUGAGUAAUGGAAACUAAUGUCCACAAGAAUAUAUUAUAAUAUAUGAAAAAUUGUAGCUAUGAUGUGAAGCAAAAGUACUAUUGUGCUCAUGAUUUUGUAUAUAAUAUGUUGAGAUUAGGUCCUACUAUUAGAAAAAUUAAAAUUUAAUUCAAAUUUUAACAUCUUGAAAUUCGUUCAAUAUUAAAUACUUAAAAACUUAAUGCCCGCUGUUAACUGAAUCAUCUUUGUAUCAUUAUCCUCUCUAAUCUUUUUUUUUUUGCUUAAAAUAUAUAUAUAUAUUAUAUAACAAAAGAUUUUUAAUAGUUGGUAUUUUAUGAAUGAAAACAAAAGACUACAAAGUAGUCUGUUAUAACAAUUAAAUACCUUUAAUUAUAAUUAUUCUCUAUCAUAGUUUCUUAUUGCAAUUAAUACCAAAUUGAAUUUUGAUUCAAGUAAGAAAGAUAAGAUGCGUUUUGAGUAGAAAUUUUAAAUUCAAAUUAUAGAGUUCAUCACGAGAAAGAGAAACAAUAAAAUUUCGUAUAAUUUACAAAAAAAAUGACGUCGUUUAUUAUUAAUCACUUGAAAUGAAUGGCAUGACGACGUUUCCUUCUUAAUGCUUAUUUCUCUCCCCUCACACGGUGUCGUUUUACCAAGCAAUAAAAGCAUCCCGUGAAACCCUGGCCUGUUUCUUUUUCUUCCUCGUCUGGCUAGGACUCUAACCGAGCCGCACCACCUCUCUCCCACGAUGGUUCCUGGGUUUCUCUCUCGACCGUCCUUUUCACUUGCCUUAGCUUGUUUUAGACGCCAACCAAACGAAAUAGCGUCUUUUCAACGCCAAAUUGCCCAACACUAUAAAAACCGUUCCCUUUACUCACAAAAUCUUAGAUCUCAGAUUUCAGAUAUCAAAUCUCGGAUCGUUUCUUACUCUCUUUGAAGAAAUUGUGUUGCGAUGGCUGAUUUUCGUCUUCAAGGUAUUUGUCAAUCUCAAUUCACAGAGAUUGCUGCUGAAAGAGCUAAAGUAGCUGCAGAGGAAUAUUUCAAGUCGGGAAACAUCGACAGGGCUAUUCAGCAAGGGUUCGCAGCACUCGAUUUGAACCCCAAUUUACGGAUCGUGCAGAAGUACAUUGCCGCCUAUUUGAUUCACAAGUUUGCUUCUAUGUUAAGUCUUUGCCAGAAAAUGAAGGUAGACGAUACCAAAGUUCUGUACUCCAUUCUUUUUAUCGAAGAUUGUUCUGCCGUAGUUGAUGCUGCGACUAUUAGAAAACACUACAAGGAAGUGGUACUAUUGGUCCAUCCGGACAAGAAUGAUUCAGUUGCAGCAGAUGGUGCUUUCAAGAUCGUUCGUCAGGCUUGGGAAACUCUCUUAUCUGAUCACAACAAAAGAAGAAAGACUCGAUGAAGAUGAAGUUUUUUGGUUUGGAUUAGAUUCAUUUUGAAUGUAUUCAAAUUUUUUUAUGAAUAAUAUGUAGUUAGUUUUUAUUUUGUUCUGAUUUUGUUACUUUUUUUAGAUUCAAUUUGAUUUUGAUUUUUAGUGUCAGUCCAAUUUCAUAAUUGAUCACAAUUAUGAUUAAGCAUUCCAAGUUAAAAUGCUACCAUCAUCAAUCCAUAAUAUAAUAUACAGAGUAAAUUGAAGCAAAUUAUUUGAAGAAUAUUCUGAUGUGGGUUUUUUAGGCAAUGAACGUUUUCUUUAAGCUUUCAGAUUUUAUUUUGUUAAAAUAAAUUGCUUUGUGUUAUAUAUUUUGUAAGUCUUUUUCGUUUGUUUUAAAUUGAAUUCUGAGUUCAAGAGGUUAUUGUAUUAAGAAACUAUGUGUUUUGCUUGCUUCAGUGUUUGUAUCGGUGCUGCAGUUAUUCACUUUCUUUCUGAUUUGAUACAAUCAAACUAAAAAAAAGAAGGAAAAAAAUUUUUUUUCACAAAAGUUACUAUAAUAUAUUUCUUUUUAUGGGUGAUAGUUUGUUGAUUAUUCGUUAUUUCAAUAUCAAUUCUUUAGUUUUGGCUCAAGUUAAACAGGCAUUGAAAAACCAAUACUUGCUUGCAAAAGAAGAUCCAUAUCGGUUCUACGUGUCUUUUGAUUCUUCAAUUGUUAUCAAAUGCUUGCUCAUGUUGUCCAGAUGUUCCCAAAUGAUGUUUACUUGGGCGAUAUCAUUGAUGCUGCAAAGUCUUUCAGGUUUGUUAUUCGGUUUUUCUCACUUAGAGGUUGAAUCACAAUUUAUCAUAUGUUUAUUUUUGCACAAAUGUGCAUGUGUAGUGUGAUUUCUUGGAAAAGCAGAAGUCCAAUAAUGGACUAUACACGUUCCUCUUUUAUCAUUACUCAUAUCUUAGCCUAAAUUACUCUUGUUGUUUCUGUGCUAAAAGUAAUGCCGCUAAUAUCUAGUUCUGGCCAACUUUUGCUGAGCUGUUUGCAAUAAUUGUUGUAUACACAUUUAUGUAAAGGUACAUUUUUUCUUGGGCCUUAAUUCACUUACCAUGUAGUUCUCUCCUGAAUCAUGUUUUUGUCCCAUUUAUAAAUGUUAGGCUAUGAUUUGAAUUGCCUUGUUAAGGAGGCAUUAUCUAUUGAAAUGUUGCUGGCAGCUAUCCUCUAACUUAAGGGUGCAGGAGACACGGUCUUCAUUGGAGUGGUUUGUGGGAAAAGUACAAGACAUGAUUACCUAAAUACUUUGAGACGAUCUAUAGUGAAGAGUACAAAUAAAUCAAGGUGAUAGGUUUAAAGAAGCUGAUCAGUUUUGCACUUCAUUGCCUUUGUCAUAUAAAAGUUUUAAUCUCUAUUCACCCACCAAAAAGGAGGAAUAGGAAAGAAAAUUGCAAAAGUGGAAGCUUUUUUACAUUUGCAUAAUGCCUGAUGCACGCAUAUGUUUAAGCACUUAGAGAGAGAUGAGACAAUGGAAGCUCACUUGGUGGGGGAAUUGAUGCAUUCAUAAAGCUGUCUCAAAGUUAGCUGCUAUUAAAAUCUCUAUUCAAUGUUCUAUAUACUUACUAAAAUUUGAAGUCUAUGUUCCAAAUUCUGAGGAAAUCAUUGGUAGAGAUAUCACCUGGAUCGGAUCCUGGUACAAAUACAUCUCAACACCUGUGGAGAAAUGUUAGUUAUGUUUCUGUUAGUAGCUUUUGUACUAGUGUAAUUUUCAUUACAUAAAUCAGUCAUGUAGGGUGCCUAGUGAUUUGAUUAUGAUAAUUGAUUUCCACGGUAAGAUGUACAAGUUUGGGUACUCCAGGACCAGAUCUCCAUUGCAGUGAUGUGCAAAGUACAAGGAAAACUUUGUCAAGGGUCAUAAAUAUUGUGAAAGGGUUAACUCUAGCAUUUGUUUUUAAUUUACACUAGAUCUUCUGUCUGCUCGUGAGUAACGGGUUUUGCUUGUUUUCAUGACUUUUUCUUUAAAUUUAUCAUCACUAUUCACCAUGAUAUAUAUGAAUGAUAAUUAAAGAUAUAUUAAAAGAUAAUGACAAGAAAAUAUUGAGUUGUUCAGCUUUAAUUAUUUGGC
Molecule: long non-coding RNA, 5903 nt
Filed under: Theobroma cacao (cacao)
Lineage: Eukaryota; Viridiplantae; Streptophyta; Magnoliopsida; Malvales; Malvaceae
Description: long non-coding RNA (TCAC_LNC002724)
Source: RNAcentral